Molecule: ribosomal RNA, 253 nt
Filed under: uncultured bacterium
Lineage: Bacteria
Description: partial 16S ribosomal RNA
Rfam family: Bacterial small subunit ribosomal RNA
Source: RNAcentral
UACAGAGGGUGCAAGCGUUGUUCGGAAUUAUUGGGCGUAAAGCGCGUGUAGGCGGCUUUGCAAGUCGGGUGUGAAAGCCCUCAGCUCAACUGAGGAAGUGCGCCCGAAACUGCAGAGCUUGAGUACUUAAGAGGAUCGCGGAAUUCCCGGUGUAGAGGUGAAAUUCGUAGAUAUCGGGAGGAACACCAGUGGCGAAGGCGGCGAUCUGGGAAGAUACUGACGCUGAGGUGCGAAAGCGUGGGGAGCAAACAGG